GGUUUCUCUAAAUCCAAUUGAUACUUCAUAAGCUCAACUACUUAUUUUAGGUCUAAUCUCUUUGUUGUGUAAUCCCAUAGGUUCAAUUCUAUCUGAUAGUGAGAUAUACAAUAAUUCUAUUAUUGUAUCAUUGAAACUCUUUUUAAUGGGUCGGAAUAAUUUCACUCUAACUCAGCAAAGAUUGUUGAUCCAGAAUGAUUCUAGUGAGCUUUCACAAUCUACCAGUGAUACCUAGC
Molecule: long non-coding RNA, 236 nt
Filed under: Elaeis guineensis (African oil palm)
Lineage: Eukaryota; Viridiplantae; Streptophyta; Magnoliopsida; Arecales; Arecaceae
Description: long non-coding RNA (EGUI_LNC053180)
Source: RNAcentral